UGCAACUUUUUUAAUCAUUAGCCUUUUUGAUCUUUGAAGCUCUAUUGAUUUAUACUGCUUUCCAAUCUUCCCGUUGGAAGGUAGCAGUUGAAAGCAAUUUAAAUUGCUUCACAGAUCUCGAGUUAUUUGGUGUAAACUGCUGAUGUGACAUGACAUCUUUUUCUGACUUUCUGACACUGCAGUCUAAUCUUUCACCUACCCCGUCAGAUGUGUUACUUUGAUGUCUCGGGCAGGUCGAAGACUUUAUUUCCCCCUUCUGAUUUCUUGAUCAGAGGUUCUCCUUGCAUAGAUGCUCUCAAUAAGCUUUUGUCUGAAUGCCAAGCUUCAGAUUGAACCAUUGCCAAUGCUUCAAUCCUUGGUUGUUCGAACUCAAUAAUUCUGAUACACUUCUUCUCGGACCUAAUCGUAGUGUCUUAUUGACUGAUGCUUAUUGAUAUGUAAAAUCAACACUACGAUCUUGAAGCGGGAUCACUUGAUCUUUAGUAAGGAGCAAC
RNAcentral lists this long non-coding RNA (494 nucleotides) under Panax ginseng (ginseng). RNAcentral describes it as "long non-coding RNA (PGIN_LNC001077)". Lineage: Eukaryota; Viridiplantae; Streptophyta; Magnoliopsida; Apiales; Araliaceae. The record is from RNAcentral.